Molecule: small RNA, 28 nt
Filed under: Bombyx mori (domestic silkworm)
Lineage: Eukaryota; Metazoa; Arthropoda; Insecta; Lepidoptera; Bombycidae
Description: ovarian small RNA-11723
Source: RNAcentral
ACUUCCGUUAGCUGGAUUAAGGUCCUGA